This 276-nucleotide ribosomal RNA is filed under the name uncultured bacterium. Its description in RNAcentral is "partial 16S ribosomal RNA". It matches the Rfam family "Bacterial small subunit ribosomal RNA", at positions 100 to 358 of the family's 1533-position model. The record is from RNAcentral.
ACGGGUAGUAAUAUAUCGGAACGUGCCCUGGAGUGGGGGAUAACUAGUCGAAAGAUUAGCUAAUACCGCAUACGAUCUACGGAUGAAAGUGGGGGAUUCGCAAGAACCUCAUGCUCCUGGAGCGGCGAUAUCUGAUUAGCUAGUUGGUGAGGUAAAGGCUCACACAAGGCAUCGAUCAGUAGCUGGUCUGAGAGGACGACCAGCCAACUGGGACUGAGACACGUGGCCCAGACUCCUACGGGAGGCAGCAGUUGGGGGAAUUUUUUGGACCAAUUG